CAACGCACACACCCUUGCUUCUUAAAGAGUCGGGGGCUGUGCAUGUUCCUCACCGUAUUGCGAUCCAUCAAACAGUCUCAUUCAACCCCUCACAAAAGAUCUAGAACGUAAGAGAUAUGAUUGAUGAUGAAGCCCUGGGAGUCAUUGCCAAUUUUCUCGGCAUCUUGAUUUUUGCUUUGGUUAUAGCUUAUCACUUAGUCACAGCAGACCCCAAAUAUGAAGCCAGCUAAGAUAUAUACUUUGAAUUUUAUCUCUGAUAUGUAUUCAGUUUUGCUGAUUGAAAGGUUCUAUGUAUGACUUUUUGAUGAAACUAGAAUUUGAUUGAGGCUUAUCAUACCGGCUGAAUCUUCAAUACUUUGGAGUCGAAUGUUAACCAUGUUUUUGUAUAUCUAGAUUAGCUAUGGAUGCUUAAUGGUACAAUGCGCACGGAAUUGUUUGAAUGAACUAAUUGAGAAUGUGAAUUGUUGAUUGACCCUUAUUAAAUAUUUCCCUUGUGCACCAAAAUUGUAGAGGAAAGAUAAGUACAUUAAUGCAACAGAACAGACAUUUUACUAGAAAGCAAAUGGGAAAAAUGUUAUUUUACGAUGCUCCAUUACAUGGGGCUACUUGGCAUAGUUCACUCAAUCAAUGUACAGCAAACUAAGUAACUAAACAUGGUGGGAAUUGAAAGCUAGUGCUGUGGUGUGAACCUUUGUUUUACUGCAGAAUUGCACAUAAGCAAUAUUAGCUACGCUAUAUGUAUCUGCUCUGGUGCAUGUAUACGUUGUAGCAAAUUAAUAAUGGAACUACCUAAUGUAGGAUUGGUAAUUGUGGGAGGAACUGGUGGAGAAGGGUGGAAGUGUGGGAAUGAAGGGUGAAGGCAACCUAUACUCAGGCCAGUCAGCUAUUGGAGGGAAUGAAGAUAAAUCACGCGGACAGGAGAAUUCCCAAUGUUGGGCAAUGUUGAUGGCACAAAAUUUCUUGGGGUUAAAUUGGUAUGGAGAUAUUUCUAAGGAUUGUUUGAGAAUGUCUGAGUUGUUUGUGGGGAGGGGAGGGACUUCUUGUUAGAGAGCGAGUAGUAGUAAAAGGUUCUAUAUUGGAUAGAAUGUACAGAUUGUUCAACAUGCACAGCUUAUAGCAUUUGAAGACUUCAGUUUUCAAGAAGUUGAAUGUAACUUUGCAGAAACAUCUUUAAACUCAAUGUAGUUCGGAGGAUGCAGAAUGCUUUCCAGAACAUAGGUUUAUAGUAGUUUGCUUCCGUGGUGGAGAUGUGAAUUUUCGUAUCUAAUAAUUGGAAGUCAAUAGCUUAAGCCUCUGCAUUUUUUCAAGAGAAUUGGGGUGAUUUCUUUAGUUUUGUGUUUUUAAAUUUUGGGUUGGAUGAAGUGCAGAUAGAUUUACCUGUGCGAUUUUGCUUAUAGCAUAUUUAUGAAAAAAAAAAUCGGGUUCUUCCCUAUAGAUGUACAUCGUGCAUUUUAUUGGUGUUCUGUCUUUCAUUUAGCUAUUUUGUUUCCGUGGCGAGAGUGGAGGAAUAGUUUGAGAGUUUGAGUAUCAGGAGAAGAAAACGAUGGAUAUUUAUUUCCUAUUUUUGUCUUCAAUAUUAGAAGAGUUUAAAGAAGAGAACAGUGAUUGUAUUAUAUCUCAUGCAUUGUAUGAAUAACAUCUUGAUAUGUUACUUUAUUUCUCAUCUCCUUCAUUAUGCUUAAUCAUAAGUAUAUAUCGGUG
Molecule: small RNA, 1701 nt
Filed under: Vigna angularis var. angularis
Lineage: Eukaryota; Viridiplantae; Streptophyta; Magnoliopsida; Fabales; Fabaceae
Description: Non-protein coding transcript
Source: RNAcentral